UGGGGAAUUUUGGACAAUGGGCGAAAGCCUGAUCCAGCAAUGCCGCGUGUGUGAAGAAGGCCUUCGGGUUGUAAAGCACUUUUGUCCGGAAAGAAAUCCUUGGCUCUAAUACAGUCGGGGGAUGACGGUACCGGAAGAAUAAGCACCGGCUAACUACGUGCCAGCAGCGCGGUAAUACGUAGGGUGCAAGCGUUAAUCGGAAUUACUGGGCGUAAAGCGUGCGCAGGCGGUUUGCUAAGACCGAUGUGAAAUCCCCGGGCUCAACCUGGGAACUGCAUUGGUGACUGGCAGGCUAGAGUAUGGCAGAGGGGGGUAGAAUUCCACGUGUAGCAGUGAAAUGCGUAGAGAUGUGGAGGAAUACCGAUGGCGAAGGCAGCCCCCUGGGCCAAUACUGACGCUCAUGCACGAAAGCGUGGGGAGCAAACAGGAUUAGAUACCCUGGUAGUCCACGCCCUAAAACGAUGUCAACUAGUUGUUGGGGAUUCAUUUCCUUAGUAACGUAGCUAACGCGUGAAGUUGACCGCCUGGGGAGUACGGUCGCAAGAUUAAAACUCAAAUGAAUUGACGGGGUCAUAGCUGUUUCCU
Molecule: ribosomal RNA, 585 nt
Filed under: uncultured bacterium
Lineage: Bacteria
Description: partial 16S ribosomal RNA
Rfam family: Bacterial small subunit ribosomal RNA
Source: RNAcentral